RNAcentral lists this long non-coding RNA (606 nucleotides) under Oryza sativa (Asian cultivated rice). RNAcentral's name for it is "long non-coding RNA (OSAT_LNC000768)". Lineage: Eukaryota; Viridiplantae; Streptophyta; Magnoliopsida; Poales; Poaceae. The record is from RNAcentral.
UGUCAUCACAAUCAUCAAGCUGCAACAUUUGUAUCAAGACAUAACUUAGCAGUUAGCACAUUUGAAUGUUGCGAUCCAAAAAGAAAAAUAAUGCAAAAGCUUUUGCAUGAGAUAAAUAUGAGUAAAUCCAAUGUAUAAAUUGCAACAGAGCAUCUCCUAUGUAUGAUUUAUGAGUCUUUUUACCAUUCAACAUUUGGUACCUCGAGGUACUACAAUUUUUUGGUACCUCGAGGUACGAACUGUUGGAUGGCAAAAUUGCUCAUGAUUUAUGGCACAUGAAAAUGAAUUGAUGGCUUAGACUAUAAAUGAGCAGCAGUAGUCUAGGAAAGCUUCUCUCAUAUAGAUACACUAAAAAUGUAACUAUGGUUUGGGGUUUUAAGGUACAGGUUUUCCAUAAGAUUGUUGCUCCAAGCAGUAAACAUCUUCUGGCAUGAAAGGCGGUACAUUCUUCUCAUCAGUCAAUUAGGAACCUGAAGCAGGUAAAAAAAGAAAGAUCUUACAUACAACAAAGCAUUACCUAAUUAUUUAGGUGCAACCAUGAAUGCCUUAAAACAUAUGCAGUUAGAUCGAGUAGCACAAUGUCUGGCAAGACAUACAGGACAAAAA